UAGCUCCCGUCCCAGCCGCCACCAACUGCCCCCUCGUCGCCUCCCCCUCCCCUUCCCCCUCUCACCACCCACUGAACAAGCAGCUUAUUCACCGCGGCUUGUUUGUCGAUCCUCAGUGUUGAAUCAGGCUCGCUCGCAAGAUGAAGCGGCUGUAUGUGAAUCUGGUGACGCGGAAUUGGGAGAGUGGGAUUUAUGCACUGCGCCGCCUCAAUCCCGAUGUGCACCUCUUCUACCAGUCAAGAAAUGACGCAAAAGAAGUACUCCCUCCGUUCCAAAAUAGAUGACCCAAUUUUGUACAAAGUUAGUACAAAGUUGGGUCAUCUAUUUUGGAACGGAGGGAGUAGCAGAGAUCAACACGAUGGAUUCUGCAGCAGAUGAUAGCAUCAAGAUGAAAUCAGCAGCAGAUGCGAACAACAAGACCAAGAGAUCCAGUCCAAGGAUGCAUAGCCUGCGGCAGCUGCCUAAACCAAUCGCCAAAUUCGAUCCGUCACCGUCCGGCCUGUGGAUCAAUGACGGCCUGGAGUGGUUCGAGCUCCUGGGCCCCCGCCGCAGCGAAAGCAGGGUCGUCAACGCCAACGUGGCCGGCGACACCGUGCUAUACGACGCCGACGAGGGCAUCAUCCUCAACUUGCCUUCGCUCCACGAGCCCAAGGGAACCAACCCCGUCUGCCUCUCAAUCACCCACCCCGACGCUGAGGAAGACGCUCUCUAUGUCAUGGACCGCUAUCCCGGCCGGGCCCUUGCGCGGCGUAACACUGGCGGUCCUGGCAUGCACUCCUGCUUCGAGGUGCUCGAGUGCAGGCCCAGCUCCAGAUUUCUGGACGACAGCAUGAAGGGGUGGGGUUGGCGGCCUCUCCCGCCGCCGCCCUUCAUCUACGAGCAUGGGUAUGAACCCACCAGGAUCAUGUCCUACACAGUUGUUGGCGAUGGAACUACCUUGUGCAUCUCGUCAGAUAGGAAUGGCAUCGGGACCUACUGCUUUGACACAGUGCGCGCCGAUGAUACCCACCGCUUAGGGUGGGAUUACCGGGAUGAAUGGAGGCACGUUGGGAAUUGGGCGCUGCCCUUCUACGACAAAGCAGAGUAUGUCCCUGAAUUCAAGCUAUGGUUUGGCUUCAGUCCCCCCAGGCCAAACCACCUGUGCGCCGUUGACCUGUCCACCAUGGACCAUGGCCAACCGCCCAUUGUGCAUCAUGUUUGGGAAGAUCUUGAUCAGCCUGAGGAAGAGGACUGGGUACCAACGCAUUUCAGGAUACUGAACCUUGGCUCUGGCAAGUUUUGUGUUGCUAAAAUCAUUAGCGCAGGGGCAACUGGCAUGAAAUUUUCGGUGCUCACUGGCAUCGAGAUGGUGCACGACAAAGAUGAUCAGAGCCUCCGGAUGUUCAAGCACAAGAGUAAACGCUACAUGUUCAGCACGCCAGAUGUAAUCCACUGGGUUAUCUGAAUAAUCUUGCAUGGUGUGCCAUGUUCACUGCCCUAUGGAUGGUGUGUGGCAAUGCUGGCCUGAGCCUUCCGAUCCCCAAGCACACGUUGCAUCAUUCACUAGGUGCAUUGAAUAAUCUAUUAGUACUACUUUUGUUAUGCAUUCCGUUUUAUUAUGCAUGCUUCUAGUCUAUUUCCUGUUUGUAAGAUAUUAUUUGGACAAUGCCAUUAGCCUGCUUGUUUAUGCCAAGUGGGGGGAUUUUCUGAAUCUACACAUGUUACUAGAUGAUCAUGCCG
RNAcentral lists this ribosomal RNA (1719 nucleotides) under Triticum aestivum (bread wheat). Its description in RNAcentral is "partial small subunit ribosomal RNA". The stretch from base 255 to 347 matches the Rfam family "MIR1120/MIR1122 microRNA precursor family". Lineage: Eukaryota; Viridiplantae; Streptophyta; Magnoliopsida; Poales; Poaceae. The record is from RNAcentral.